GCAUGUAUUCAAAGUUAGGUCGUAAUUGCAUGUAUUUAUAGUCGGGUCGCAGUUGCAAGUAUUCAUAGUCGGGUCGCAAUUGCAAGUAUUCAUAGUCGGGUGCAUGUAUUCGAAGUCAGGUCACAAUUGCAAGUAUUCAUAGUCGGGUCGCAAUUGUAAGUAUUCAUAGUCGGGUCGCAAUUGCAAGUAUUCAUAGUCGGAUGACAACUGCAUGUAUUCGAAGUUAGGUCGUAAUUGCAAGUAUUUAUAGUCGGGUCACAGUUGCAAGUAUUCAUAGUCAGAUCGCAACUGCAUGUAUUUGAAGUUAGGUCGUAAUUGCAAGUAUUUAUAGUCGGGUCGCAAUUGCAAGUAUUCAUAGUCGGGUCGCAACUGCAUGUAUUUGAAGUUAGGUCGUAAUUGCAAGUAUUUAUAGUCGGGUCGCAAUUGCAAGUAUUCAUAGUCGUGUCGCAAUUGCAAGUAUUCAUAGUCGGGUCGCAACUGCAUGUAUUCGAAGUUAGG
RNAcentral lists this long non-coding RNA (498 nucleotides) under Hordeum vulgare. Its description in RNAcentral is "long non-coding RNA (HVUL_LNC005612)". The record is from RNAcentral. Lineage: Eukaryota; Viridiplantae; Streptophyta; Magnoliopsida; Poales; Poaceae.